UGGAACCUGCAAUUACAAUUUUUGAUAUUAACGUAAAGAAUAUUCUGACCCUUAGAUCUACGAUGUCCUGGUUCAGGAAAUGCAGAAUUAUCCUUCUCUGAAGAGCUCAAAGGAACAUGGAUAAUCACUAGACAGGAAUAUAGAAGAGGCAUUCAAUACCUCUUGACAUUGGUCAACCUGCAUAUCCUUCCUACAAUUCUAGAAAGUGCAAGUUUACAGAUUCUGGAGACACAAGGAUUUCACUUGUCAAGAAGCAUCUGGAAUCAGAAAACCUUUCUUACAUUGAUAAAAGAAUCAAAGUUGAACAUGGAAAUCAUCUUUAUCUGAGAAGAUUGAAGACAAAAUUCAGGGUAGUUGAAGCAUUUGGACCUGUAAAGCAGAACACUGGAAAAGAAGCUAAAUUAGAGACAGAUUUGCCCAGGGGCUAUCUUGUGCAUUUUCAGGUUGAGUAGAGUAGUUGCUAUGAGUUUGGGGGAAAAGAGAGAGAGAGAGAGAGAGAGAGAGAGAGAGAGAGAGAGAGAUUGAAAUGGCUGGUCAGUGCCAGGGAACACUGAAGAUCUGGCCCUGCCAGACUAUAGAGACCUUGUUAAAACUUCUCAACCACACUGAGCACCCAGCUGAAAUAUGAGGAGUAAUGUGCUUUAAGUUUAAGAAAUAUUCCCUAGAACAAGGUACUCAGUAGGUAGAUCUGCUUGAACAAAGCCUUAAAAUAAACCUUGAUAAUAACCACGGGGGACA
This 738-nucleotide long non-coding RNA is filed under the name Felis catus (domestic cat). RNAcentral describes it as "lncRNA (ENSFCAG00000050628.1)". The record is from RNAcentral. Lineage: Eukaryota; Metazoa; Chordata; Mammalia; Carnivora; Felidae.